UUGAAUUUACAUAUCUGUAACAGAGGAAAAUGCAGCUGAAACUUAAAAAGAUUUGACUGGAAGCAGCGGUCCAGAUGUAGAGUUUUGGAAGUGUGGCAGAACAAAAUUGAGAACGUCUUUGAGAUCCAGCUUCCGCAAACCACUUUUCGCACUUUUUAAAAGCGAAAGUAAGGGAAUAAAACUGCUCAAAUCUUUGGAAAGCCACGCUGAAGAGAUACAAUCAACUUUAAUUUGGCUUGCG
Molecule: non-coding RNA, 241 nt
Organism: Drosophila takahashii
Lineage: Eukaryota; Metazoa; Arthropoda; Insecta; Diptera; Drosophilidae
Source: RefSeq, a predicted model, not a curated record